CUUAGGUGCUGACUGGAACAUAGGUGCUAGGUGAUGUGGUACUAACUGGAACUUAGGUGCUGACUGGAACGUAGAUGCUAGGUGAUGUAGUACUGACUGGAACGUAGGUGCUAGGUGAUGUGGUACUGACUGGAACGUAGGUGCUAGGUGAUGUGGUACUGACUGGAACGUAGGUACUAGGUGAUGUGGUACUGACUGGAACGUAGGUACUGACUGGAACGUAGAUGCUAGGUGAUGUGGUACUGACUGGAACGUAGAUGCUAGGUGAUGUGGUACUGACUGGAACGUAGGUGCUAGGUGAUGUGGUACUGACUGGAACGUAGGUACUAGGUGAUGUGGUACUGACUGGAACGUAGAUGCUAGGUGAUGUGGUACUGACUGGAACGUAGGUACUAGGUGAUGUGGUACUGACUGGAACGUAGAUGCUAGGUGAUGUGGUACUGACUGGAACGUAGGUACUAGGUGAUGUGGUACUGACUGGAACGUAGGUACUAGGUGAUGUGGUACUGACUGGAACGUAGGUACUAGGUGAUGUGGUACUGACUGGAACGUAGGUACUAGGUGAUGUGGUACUGACUGGAACGUAGGUACUAGGUGAUGUGGUACUGACUGGAACGUAGGUACUAGGUGAUGUGGUACUGACUGGAACGUAGGUACUAGGUGAUGUGGUACUGACUGGAACGUAGG
Molecule: long non-coding RNA, 687 nt
Organism: Oncorhynchus keta (chum salmon)
Lineage: Eukaryota; Metazoa; Chordata; Actinopteri; Salmoniformes; Salmonidae
Exons: 3
Source: RefSeq, a predicted model, not a curated record